GGAGUAUUUGGCAAUGGGGGAAACCCUGACCGAGCAACGCCGCGUGUGUGAUGAAGGCCUUCGGGUCGUAAAACACUGUGAUUGACUGGGAAACUCAGGAGGAGUGGAAAGCCUUCUGACUGACCGGUCUAUUAGAAAGCAACUGCUAACUACGUGCCAGCAGCAGCGGUAAUACGUAGGUUGCAAGCGUUAUCCGGAAUUAUUGGGCGUAAAGAGUGAGCAGGCGGCUUUGCAAGCCGGGGGUUAAAUGCGGAGGCUUAACCUUCGUUCGUCCCCGGAACUGCAUGGCUAGAGUGCUGGAGAGGCAAGCGGAACUCCACAUGUAGCGGUGAAAUGCGCAGAUAUGUGGAAGAACACCAGUGGCGAAGGCGGCUUGCUAGACAGUAACUGACGCUCAGUCACGAAAGCGUGGGGAGCAAAUA
This 422-nucleotide ribosomal RNA is filed under the name uncultured Asteroleplasma sp. Its description in RNAcentral is "bacterial SSU rRNA". It matches the Rfam family "Bacterial small subunit ribosomal RNA", at positions 358 to 774 of the family's 1533-position model. Lineage: Bacteria; Bacillati; Mycoplasmatota; Mollicutes; Anaeroplasmatales; Anaeroplasmataceae. The record is from RNAcentral.